AGGAAAUCCAAGACAGGAUACGCAUCAUUGAGCUCUACGCGAAGGACCGACAGUUUGCAGACUUUGUGCGGCAUCAUCAGGCAGUCGUGGAUACCCGCAGAGAGAGCUCCUCCACACACACAUGAAGCUCACCUGUGUUUCAGAAACAAGACUGUGUUAGUAAAGUGAAUCUGGACCCGUGAAGACGGACUGGACUGAACCUCAGCACGGAGCUCAUUAUCCCAUCUCGCCCGACGACCCCUCUCCGUGUCUCCGGGUGACCCUCACAUGUUGACCGCUCUUCCUCCUUCCUUUGUGCCUUCUCUUGAACGGGUGAGCUGGCUGUGGCAUCUGCUGGACGUCUCCCUUUUGGGGCAACUGGACUGAAUCCUAUUACUUGAAACGUUCAUCACAAUCCCGUCAGUAGUACUUUUUGUCUAGUGGAAUAAUCGGUUUUGUUUUCAUCAUGUCAUAUUUGUCCAUAAUUCAAGAGAGGAACUUUAAAAACUUUGAAUAUCGUGUAACUGUUAGGAUGUUUGCUAUUUAAGACGUUAAUCGCAACUUUUUUUUUUUACUCUUCAAAGGUUCAAAUUUACUCGUUAUGUUUUCUGAGAGAGGCGCUGAGCAAGCUGUUAUUUUUUUAAUCAAUGGUGCUUUGUAAUUUAAAAUGUAUUGGUCUAUAAUGAUUAAUUGUUACAAUUCAAAAGCAACAGCAAUGGAUCAACCCUGUGUACAAGACUGUGCUUGAAAGGGGGGUAAAAUCAGUCUACGGGGAAAAUACCCGUCUUCACUUUCUGGCUGAGACUUCAUUGAGAAGAUUGAUUGGAGUCUCAUAUGCCAGGUAAGGUACAGUCAGCAGCUUCUAGCUUAGCACAAACACAUGGAAAUGGGGAGAAACGGGUCCCCUGACUCCGCCCUGGAGUAACAAGUACACAUGUUUUAAAGUAAACAAACAAGAUUUAACGAGUUAAUACGCUUAGGAGGUGCUGGUAAAUAUAUUUUGUUAUGUUUGGACAAAACUGUUUCCCUCUGUUUCCAUUCUUUGUGCUAAGCUAAGCUAAACAGCGGCUUGCUGCAGCCCAAUACAUAAACAUGCUAGCUGUCUCCAGUCUUUGCGCUAAGCUAAGCUAAACAGCUGCUUGCUGUAGCCCAAUACAUAAACAUGCUAGCUGUUUCCCCCUGUUUCCAUUCUUUGUGCUAAGCUAAGCUAAACAGCUGCGUCCUUUAGCUCAAUGGCUAAACAGACUAGCUGUUUCCAUUCUUUGUGCUAAGCUAAACUAAAUAGCUGCUUGUAUUAGCCCAAUAUCUAAAGAGGCUAGCUGUUUCCCCCUGUUUCCAUUCUUUGUGCUAAGCUAAGCUAAACAGCUGCUUCCUUUAGUUUAAUAUCUAAACAGGCUAGCUGUUUCCAGUCCAGCUGUUCCCAUGUUUCCAUGCUUUGUGAUAAGCCAAGCUAAACAACGGCUUGCUUUGGCCCAAUAUCUAAACAGUCUAGCUGUUCCCCUGUUUCCAGGCUAGCUGUUCCCCUGUUUCCAUGCGUUUUGCUAAGCUAAGCUAAACGGCUGCUUGCUUUUGCCCAAUAUCUAAAAUCUUCAACUAUUCCCUUAAGAUGGCCAAAUGUAGUGCAAGUGUAUGUAUUAUUACUUCUGUUCAUCAAUGUAAAAGCAGCCUUUCACAAUGUGAACAUUAAUCCAAUAAUCUUCUUACUGGCACGUGAUUUUCCGCCUUUUUUUUUUAACGGCUCCAUCAAUCAAAAGCUUUGGCGUGUAUGUUUUGUAAAGGUACAGCGUGGUAGACUCGAGAAAGUGAAGACAUGGCGACGAGAGAAAAGUCAGAGGGAGCACAAACCCGAUGCCGAAUGAAGUGAAAAAUCUUGUUUCACUAUUAAAAGAAAACAAGCGGCCGAAGGGAUUUAUUCAAAUAUGUGCAAUCCACCUGAAAGAACAGGAACAUCAAGCUGAUAAACAACAUGCUCUCUUUUGGAAAGAUGAACUCGAGCUGCGUGUCCAGCUGAGAAAAAAAAAGCUUCAAGGCUACAGCGGCUACUUGUUUGGCCGCCACACUGCUCGACUGACGAACUCCAGAGUUUCCUCUGGUCCUCUCACAUGCUCCUCCCUAAUAAUAAUAAUAAUAAUAUCCCUGGGCUUGUUCAUCUUGACACCCCCCCCCCUCCCCCUGCGGCCAGAAUCAGACACAGAGAUCGUGUCCCAGCUUCUUGUUUACAUUACACGCUUUCUUACUCUUAUUUCUGAGGUCUAUACUACACAAGCGACAAACACCUGGCGAAGCAGACUCUUGUGACAGUGUCAUGCCUUUUUGCAAUCUGCAUAUUUUGUUGCAUUUUGUUGUUGUUGUUUGCAUACAGUUUUUUUUGUCAACAUCCUCAAUCUGCCGCCUGGAGUAACGGCCAAUCAAAUCCCAUACAGCUGUCAUGUAAAUAUCAUAAAGGAUAUUAUUAACUGGUGUAGGAUGUAAAUCAUGCAUGUCUCACAUGUUUUAAUAUAUGAAUAGAUUAUUUUUGAUUCAGAUAUUUCUUCCACCAUUCUAACAGUGUUGUC
This is a long non-coding RNA of Pseudoliparis swirei, 2534 nucleotides long. RefSeq lists it as uncharacterized. The record is from RefSeq and is a predicted model, not a curated record. The transcript is spliced from 3 exons. NCBI's taxonomy places the organism in Eukaryota, Metazoa, Chordata, Actinopteri, Perciformes, Liparidae.